Non-coding RNA from Rattus norvegicus (Norway rat), 3593 nucleotides. The record is from RefSeq and is a predicted model, not a curated record. Lineage: Eukaryota; Metazoa; Chordata; Mammalia; Rodentia; Muridae.
GUCAUGAUCCUACAGUUGUCAUCUAAGAGGGGGAGCCACUCUCCAAAGGCAGUCAUGAUCCUACAGACAUCUGAGUCCUCAGUUCAGUGAGAAUGCCAUCAGCUGAGAGAAGCACGACUGCUGCAGAAGCUAAGGUCUUACAGCCUCACCGGCCUGCAGACACAAACCAUGCGUGGCCUGACACCAUCCCAUUGGAGGAACUGUCCAGAUGUUUUUAGAGACAGACUUAGCAAACAAGCAUGAAAACCUCCCUGGGUUUCCUGAUGUCAUAAGAACUGACGAGACGACUGGUAAUUACAACUCACAGACCUGCAGAGCCAGGAGCACCUUUUAGCAUUCUCUCGCUUGGAUACUACGUUUGAUGGGUGUCUGCUCUGAAAACCAAAGAAAGAAGGCAGCACCGGUUUGAGAUCUUAGAGGUGUGUAUGUUUGUGGAGACAGGAAAUGAAGUGUGUUAAACACCCAGUAAAAUCUAAAGUAAAUUAGCGAGUUGGAAGGGAACUGCUGGGUUUAAAUUUUACUCUCUGAAUUUGCCUUAGCCCCUUAUUUCUAAUCCCACCAAAGGCACGCUCUACUAAACCGCAGUCCUCACAGUUCCGAAAAGACCUGUGCUUCCCACCAUCCCAAGGCCGGUCGAGGCCGUGCUGCCGGGAAGGAAAUGUGGUCAUUCUACUAUUAUCAGUGUGCCUGUUAUCAGAACAGAGUCACAGCCGUCAGUGACUGGCUCCCUAGGCCAUGCGUGCACACAAUGUGUGUGCACACAAUGGUCUCCGGUCAUGGGGCCAGGAGGCUCCUGUGAAGUUAAGAGGUAACUGGUCCUAAGAGGUGAUCCCACUGAAACAAGGAGGCAGGGAGCCUGAAUACAAAGGCCCUUCAGACGAAACGCCCUAGAAGUGAGACCAAAUGAGAUUUUCCUCACUCUAUACCCACCCACCCCUGCUCAGACUUGCCUUCCUGUUCCGGCAGGGUGGGUCCUGCUCAUCCACUGCUGGGUGAACACAGACCCAAAUUCCUUAGCAGCUAUUCACUCCCAGCCUGCCACUGGCUCUUCCCUGAUCCCGCCCACUUGCAUCACUCCACCCAGGCCAAAGAAUGGUCCCGGUUUACCUUCCCAAGCUCUGGCUCCUCCCCCUGCUGAUGUUUGACUCUGGAGGUUUCCAGUGUUGAAACUCCUUCUUAAUCCUGUUUACACCUCUUUACUCACUGAAAUCUUCCGUGCCAAGUAAGUGUCUCUCAGGUACUACUUCACAAAAGAAAAUACUUCAAUAGUAUUUCCCCAGAAGAGACCACGCCUGACCCUGAAGCCUCAAAUAACUCUCAAUUCCAGAAGACCAUUACAUCCUAACCGGCCUCCAUCUUGGCUAGUGCUUGAGGAGGGAAGACGAGUGAGCCGAAGACUAAACUACUCGGGCUCCUGGACCAGCACUCCAAGCCCUUACGGACAGAAGAGUGUGCUUAGUAACAACCCUCCCCAAUACGGCUGAAACUGAUACCGAAUCGUAAAAUUCCAGGAGUGAGGCUGAGACUCAGGAGGAUAUGAUGAAAUCCGGCUUCAAAUAUUACAACUUUCUUCCCUACUGCUGUCUCGUGGAAUCCUCCCCUCCACCACCCCGCCACCCCUCCUCCUAGUAGAAGAAGCUCUUUCCCACCCUACAGGCCACUGCCACAACCCAGCUCCUUCCUAAGUCCUUGGGGCCCUCAGUUUUUAGGGGCAGACAACUUGAAUGCUAGUGUUGCAGACUCAGUGACACUGCCUGGCAUCUCCUACUGACACUAAGACACAACCUGUGUCUACUUCACAGCCUACUUCCCAUCCCCUUUCAAACUUCUGAGUCCAGGAGCCUCUCUGCCCUACUUUGAAUAGGAAAAAAUAGUAGAAAGCUUUCAAAUGAUCCACCCCAGAAAAAGUCUUGCCGAUAAACAUGAACAAACCUUAAUUUUCUUUCAUUUUUUUAAAAAGAUUUGUCUUAUGUAUAUGAGUAUUUUGCUCAUAUGUAAGUCUGGGAACCAGCUAUGUGCCUGGAGCUGAUAAAGGUCAGAAGAGAGCAUCAGACACCCUGGGACCUGAGUCUCCUGCAAGAACAAAGGUUCAUAACUACAGAGCUGUCUCUCCAGCCCAUAACCUCAAUUUUCAAACCAUCAGAAAACAAGUCUGUCCUGUAAAGGGAGUUUGUACAGUUCUUCCUAGUAGCUGGACUUAAUUUUAUUCAUUGAUAAAUCAUGAAGAGAGGAAGUGGUUUGCAUACCUAGAGGUUAAGGAAAUAAUCAGCAUUUAAUAGUCACCAAUGAGUCAAACCCAUGAUGAUUUCUAAACUGAGUAUUUCAUGGGGCGCAACCACCUCCAUACAAAAUGACAGCCUACUGCCCACACUGACCAUCUACCUACAUAUGGAGUAACAGCCUACUGUCCUCAGUGACCAUCUACAUAUGAAAUGGCCUACUGUCCGCACUGACUGUCUACAUAUAAAAUGACCGCCUACUGUCUGCACUGACUAAUAGCAGCAAAUGGGGACAGAAGGAAAAUCAAAGUUCUAUCUUCCUAGGGGUGAGUGUUUUCUUAGGAUUGAAGAGAAAAAACACCUCCUACAACUAUGUCUGUGAGGAAGAAGUUACGUUUAGAUUGCUUUUGCCUCGUGGAGGUCAUACACAUGCAUCCAUUUCAGAAGUGUCAAAGGAGCACCUUAAUCAUAACAUUCUAUUUACAAUAGCCCCACCCUGAAAGCUAUACACUACUGAUCCCAACUGAUGGGAGGCAGCUUAGCAACAGAGCACACAUCUCAGAUGGCGGAGGCCUUAGGAUCAAUCCCCGGUACAUGAAGCUCUUUCUCUUUAGCCUUCAAGUCUCAGGAGAAGACCACCAACAUACUUUAUCAUCUGGGGAUCAACUACAAUGUCUGUUAUACAUAACAAAACCUUCCUGUGGCCUUCUGUGUCUUCGACUAACUCAAGAGUACACUCAAACAAACACAAAGUUUCUAUAUGCGAAUUUCCCAGAAUUUCUUCUUUCCUGCUUGCAAACUUGUUGGACACUCUGGGCAAGCCAUAACUAGUUCUAUAUUGGGCAUCUCUGACAGAGCAGGCAUGUUGGAGUUAGAUAUCAGUUGUGAUGAGCACACUGAGAUUUAGAAGCUCAUUCCAGUCAUUUGAUCUCAAGACCUACUACACACAGCUCUCCCAAAGCAGAUUCCACAGCCUCAGUUCUUGGUGACGUAAGGAGAGCUCUUUUUGCUGACAGCCACUGCCACAAUAUUCUCUCAGGAGUAGCUGACUGGCCAACCACAAAGAAAGAACACUCUUCUGGAAAUGCCCUUGUUCCAGCACAUGACACAAUCUAUGUGCCACAUCAAAAAUGCCACCAGAACGUCCCAGAUGAUGUCAUACCUCAAUGAAGUCAUGACAAAUCACACUCCUCAUGAUCAGGAUUAACACACCCAAAACUUGAUCCUUUAACCAUACUGUACAGACAACAAAAAGAACAAUAAUUUCAGAGUCAAAUCUAUCGAUGCACACACCCUACACACUGCAAAAUGAAUUUUCUAAUCCAGUCAGCACAGGACUUUACAGGACAAUGAAAAAGGGAAGGGAAAGGAAGG